Molecule: unclassified non-coding RNA, 334 nt
Filed under: soil metagenome
Description: partial contains 5.8S ribosomal RNA, internal transcribed spacer 2, and large subunit ribosomal RNA
Rfam family: 5.8S ribosomal RNA (bases 1-120)
Source: RNAcentral
GAUGAAGAACGUAGCGAAAUGCGAUAAGUAGUGUGAAUUGCAGAAUUCAGUGAAUCAUCGAACCUUUGAACGCACAUUGCGCCCCUUGGUAUUCCAUGGGGCAUGCCUGUUCGAGCGUCAUUUGUACCUUCAAGCUUUGCUUGGUGUUGGGUGUUUGUCCAUUCUCUUGCAGAGGGACUCGCCUUAAAGUAAUUGGCAGCCAGUGUUUUGGUUUUGAAGCGCAGCACAAGUCGCGAUUCAAAGCUAUACGCCCGCUUCCACAAGCCUUUUUCACUUUUGACCUCGGAUCAGGUAGGGAUACCCGCUGAACUUAAGCAUAUCAAUAAGCGGAGGA